AGGGAAGAGCAGUGGGCAUCAUUGGGAAGCAGUAGAAGUCUCUUGACAGGCCAGGCCUGCAUAAAUACUAGAUAAAGUGGCACCAACACCCAGACUGGUACAAAAUCCGAUUUGCUCUCAUUUGGGAGAAGCCUUCGGUGAUUUGAUCACCUGUCAGAAGUGUCUCUGUGAAAUGUCUUGUAGAGCCUUCAGUUCUUUUUCCGUUACCAUCUGUGAAGCAAAAGAAC
Podarcis muralis (Common wall lizard) is the source of this 227-nucleotide non-coding RNA. Lineage: Eukaryota; Metazoa; Chordata; Lepidosauria; Squamata; Lacertidae. The record is from RefSeq and is a predicted model, not a curated record.